AAGGUUUUAAGUUAAGAAAACUAAUAACCUUCAAAGUUAUCAAUAAAAAUUUUAAACCUUA
RNAcentral lists this transfer RNA (61 nucleotides) under Diaphanes citrinus. RNAcentral describes it as "tRNA-Trp". Lineage: Eukaryota; Metazoa; Arthropoda; Insecta; Coleoptera; Lampyridae. The record is from RNAcentral.